ACGGGAGGCAGCAGUAGGGAAUAUUGGGCAAUGGAGGCAACUCUGACCCAGCCAUGCCGCGUGAAGGAAGACGGCCCUAUGGGUUGUAAACUUCUUUUAUCGUAGAGUAAACCUGCCCACGUGUGGGCAGUUGAGAGUAUACGAGGAAUAAGUAUCGGCUAACUCCGUGCCAGCAGCCGCGGUAAUACGGGGGAUACGAGCGUUAUCCGGAUUUAUUGGGUUUAAAGGGUGCGUAGGCGGGAUGUUAAGUCAGCGGUGAAAGUUUGCGGCUCAACCGUAAAAUUGCCGUUGAAACUGGCGUUCUUGAGUGUAAACGAGGUAGGCGGAAUGUGACGUGUAGCGGUGAAAUGCUUAGAUAUGUCACAGAACCCCGAUUGCGAAGGCAGCUUACCAGCAUACAACUGACGCUGAGGCACGAAAGCGUGGGUAUCAAACAGGAUUAGAUACCCUGGUA
RNAcentral lists this ribosomal RNA (454 nucleotides) under uncultured Porphyromonadaceae bacterium. RNAcentral's name for it is "bacterial SSU rRNA". It matches the Rfam family "Bacterial small subunit ribosomal RNA", at positions 341 to 792 of the family's 1533-position model. The record is from RNAcentral. Lineage: Bacteria; Pseudomonadati; Bacteroidota; Bacteroidia; Bacteroidales; Porphyromonadaceae.